CUGGUGAAGUCCCAAGACUGAGUUCAUCUAAUUUGGUGGUUCUCAACCUGUGGGUCCCCAGGUGUUUUGGCCUACCACUCCCAAAAAUCCCAGCUAUUUUACCAGCUGUUAGGCUUUCUGGGAGUUGAAGGCCAAAACAUCUGGGGACCCACAGGUUGAAAACCACUGAUCUAGUUCCUGGAAGUGCUGGUCAAGUGCAAAACGUGGAGCUUUGCUCUGAAAAACUGAAAAUGAUAAACAUUGGGAAUUAGAAAAAACAAUUCAUUGUCAUCAGCACUAAUAUUUGACAAUGUUUGAAUAGUUCAGUAACAAUUAAUCUUAAUUUUUCAAAUGUUAGUUCUCAAAACAGGUUAUUGGAUUAUACAAAGAAUGGCAAAGAUCUUUUCACUGAUGACCUCACAAUAGUACAUUUCAUUACUGGCUCCUUCAAAGAGGCUUUUGAAAAUGUUUCUUUCCUCCAACCUGAAUUUUCCCAGAGGGACUACAAACACAUAAUAUGAUUGUUUCUCAGGAAUGAUGGGUGUCCAGAAUGCCUGAGAACCUUCAAUCUGGGAGAAGCUGUCCCAAGGCAUUUCGAAAAUUUGGUCAAUUAAGUUUGUUGCUCAUUUAUAACACUCUUUUCUUUCCAGUCCCACUAAUAUGUCAGUAUUUAAUAAAGAGUUGUUUUAGUUAGAGGACACUAAUCCACUGCAAGUACAGCUAUAGGUGGAUACAGUAUAGCUACAAAGAUCAGUCAGUGAAUCAAGUGUGAAGAGAGAUUUUUGAGAGUCUCUGAAUGUAUGCAAAAUUGAAUCAUUGCAUUGUUUCUAUGUACUCUUACAUGAAAAAGUGUGGUCUCGAAAGAUUGGGGUAUAAGGAUGGGAUCCAAAAUUUGGUCAGUGGUAUCUUCAGAUUAAACAUUCAAGAAUCUAAGCAGCCACUGUUUUCUGCAUCCCAUCUUGCCUUAAAACCUAUUUAUAUAAAUUGGAUCAAGGGAAAAAAGCAGAAUGAGAAGCACAGUGUAACAGGGCUUCUUCUCCAAAUUGUGCUGUGCUCUCUUUUACGGCCUUGUCUUUUCCUUUAGGCCACAAAAUCUGGUUGGCCUUUCUUUUUUACAUACUUGCACAGAAAGAAUUCAAGAUGCAGAUAAGAGAACCUCACAAUAAUCCUGCCUUUGAGGGGGAAUGGUGGUGACGUAAAUUAUCUGUGGUUGACAAGAUGCUUCUGUAAGAAAAAUAAUUUCUGGAGCUUCUCAGUAGCCAAAGGGAGCAAGAGGGGAAAUGGACACUGGUAGGGCCCCGUUGUCAAUCCUCAGAUAGUAAGAGGCCUACAUACACAGUCACUGCUUUGACAGGUGAAUCACGGGAGAGGAAUGAGUAACAGUCCAUAGACACAGAGCUCGCCAGGAGAGAGUGAGUAAUGUGACAUUUAUUAGAUUGCACAGCCUUGGCAUCCAUCAAAGUCAAAGAGCUGGAGAGUGACAUAACCAUGGGCAGAGAAAGCGAAAGGGGAGGCCGUCCAUCUGCAACGGACUGUUUCUUCCCUGCACCCCUAGCAGUGGCUGCUUUUUUGGAAGGCUGCCUAGAGCAGUGGCUGAAUCGAGUUAUGUUGACAGUGAUGGAUGCAAAGCAAUCCAUGGGGCUGUUUCGUUUGCUUCGGUAGCAGGCAAGACACCCUGCUGGCAGCAGUGACAGAGCAAGAUGCUCUGAACCUGGAGCAGUCACGAGCUCAGGACAGAAACAGCAGGAGGAGGCCUUUGGAAGGAGCCCUUCCCUGUUUCCAGUCGUAAGUUCCACUCAUGGAACCACCUGGUGAGCCUUUAUGUCCACUGGCCUGUGUCACUCCUGGAGAUGAGGAAUCGGGGACAUAUACGUAUCAUGGUGGAAUGCAAAGAAGUUAAAAGGAAUAAGAUAAGAUAGGCUUGCAAAUAAAUCUGAUUUUCAAAGUUCUCAGUAUUUGGUAAAUGGAAAGGGUUUGGGGGGGGGGGGCAGAAAGAAGAGAAAGAGGAGAUGACAUUAGAAGAAAGAGGAUGUUUCGUACCACAUCCUGAAUGCACCUGGCAGAAGCUGUAAGACAACAUAUUUAUAAAUAAAAAUAACAGCAACAACAACAAUAUUUGUUACCCGCCUCUCCUCACAGCUUGAGGCAGGGCACAACAACACACAUCACCAUAAAAUACCAUAAAAUACAUAAACCCAAAUGUUUCCUAUCCUAGGCAGUGGUGUUUGGUGGUCAAUCAAACUGUGAAUUUGAUCUGGGUUUUAGUCUGAACUUUAAUGGUGCUGAACCUAUUUCAGAGAUAGUCUUCAGCGCCUGUAAAAUUUCAAUUAAUCCCAGUGUAGAUUCUCUGUCUGACUGAAAGGGAAAAUACCAACUGUCACAGAUUCUGGGGUGAUUUUAUAAUACAGAUAACUAGUUGCCUCAAAAAACAUGGUAGAAGUUAAUUGCAAACCUCUUCAUGUCCCCCCCCCCCAAAAAAAAAAUUCCUCUCACAUUGCUGGUCUCAAUGUUGAUGCAACAGUUUUACAUGCGACUGGUCGUCAGUACACAUCAUAGAAUCAAGAUUGGGCUGCCAAAGUCACAUUCACUUCAUUGCACUGCUUUGUGAGAAAUAAAUACUUGUGAGUGUGAAUCUAGUUGCCAGGAUGCAAUCUGCAGAGGCUUUACUUUUAAUGUCAACUUUGCACCAGGCUGUUGUGUAAUCUGUACUUAUCCAUUGUUCCAGGUCAAACUCAUCACCAACCUGUUCUUUGAAUGGGGCUUAAGGAUUGUUUCACAGCAGGUGAAGGAAGAUCAGAAGUAAAGAAACUGGAAUUCACUAGCAACCAAGCAACAAUUACAGCCAUCUCAAAUCACACUUGUUCUCUGCUGAAACCCUUCACACCCAACCAUUCCUUGUUUCAGAAGCUAAAGAAGACCAGGCUUGACUAGUACCUGGAUGAGAGCAGAUGUAUGAACUCUAUUUGAAACCAUCAAGGAUCUCCAAGUGGAAAAAUCCAGCUUGAAACCUCUGAGAGAUGAUGCCAAUAAGGGCUGUCUACAGGACAGAUCGAAAGUGGCAACUGCGGCAGGCCCAGUCGCUACUUUUAUGCCUUGGCUCCUUGCAUAGACAACAUGGACUAAAUGGACUAAUGGUCUAAUGAAAAAAAUGAGAAUAUCCAAUAAAAUGUGAAGGAAAAAAAGGAAUCAAGGCCAUGAGGGUGAUUUUCCAGUUGCUUUCCCCUGAAGAAGGCCACACAAAUAUUGAUUGGCUGUAAUACGUUGAGUUAAUUUGCAUAAUAAAACUUCACUGCAUGUCAUGAAUUUUCACUCCCUUAUAUUGCUCUUUUGAAAACCUGGCAACACUAGCUGUAUGGCAUAGGCUUGGGCAACUACACCACUUAUGAUGCCCAAUCUCUGCCUCUGUAUCCUCCCAGCGGAAUGCACCAGGGGCCUUUACACAUUACACG
Long non-coding RNA from Anolis carolinensis (green anole), 3428 nucleotides. RefSeq lists it as uncharacterized. The record is from RefSeq and is a predicted model, not a curated record. NCBI's taxonomy places the organism in Eukaryota, Metazoa, Chordata, Lepidosauria, Squamata, Anolidae. The transcript has 3 exons.